This 461-nucleotide ribosomal RNA is filed under the name uncultured soil bacterium. RNAcentral describes it as "bacterial SSU rRNA". It matches the Rfam family "Bacterial small subunit ribosomal RNA", at positions 26 to 522 of the family's 1533-position model. The record is from RNAcentral.
AGAUUGAACGCUGGCGGCAUGGCUAAAACAUGCAAGUCGAGCGCGAAAGGGAGCAAUCCCAAGUAGAGCGGCGAAAGGGUGAGUAAUACGUUCCUACGUACCUGAAGGUCGGGGAUAGCCAGGGGAAACUCUGGGUAAUACCCGAUGUGAUCGAGAGAUCAAAGGCUUGCCGCCUUCAGAGCGGGGAACGUCCUAUCAGGUAGUUGGUGAGGUAAAGGCUCACCAAGCCUUUGACGGGUAGCGGUGUGAGAGCAUGGCCCGCCACAUCGAAACUGAGACACUGUUCGGACUCCUACGGGAGGCUGCAGUAACGAAUCUUCCGCAAUGCGCGAAAGCGUGACGGAGCAAUGCCGCGUGCAGGAUGAAGCCCCUGGGUGUAAACGUGCUGCAGGGGUUAGAAACGCAAUGAUCUAACCCCAAAGGAAGAAGACGACUAAACUCUAGUGCCAGCCGAGACCGAC